AACGAACGCUGGCGGCGUGCUUAACACAUGCAAGUCGAGUGCGCGUGCCGUAGCAAUACGGUAUGGCGCACGGCGCACGGGUGCGUAACACGUGGGUAACCUGCCCUUUGGUGGGGAAUAACUCCGGGAAACCGAAGCUAAUUCCGCAUAAGAUCCGCAAGGAUGAAAGCCGCAAGGCGCCGAUGGAGGGGCCCGCGCCCGAUUAGCUAGUUGGUAGGGUAACGGCCUACCAAGGCUUUGAUCGGUAGCUGGUCUGAGAGGAUGGCCAGC
Molecule: ribosomal RNA, 270 nt
Filed under: uncultured bacterium
Lineage: Bacteria
Description: partial 16S ribosomal RNA
Rfam family: Bacterial small subunit ribosomal RNA
Source: RNAcentral